CCCUUAGAUGUUCUGGGCCGCACGCGCGCUACACUGACGAAUGCAACGAGCUUAUAACCUUGGCCGAAAGGUCUGGGUAAUCUCCAAAUUUCGUCGUGAUGGGGAUAGAUUAUUGCAAUUAUUAAUCUUCAACGAGGAAUGCCUAGUAAGCGCAAGUCAUCAGCUUGCGUUGAUUACGUCCCUGCCCUUUGUACACACCGCCCGUCGCUCCUACCGAUUGAAUGGUCCGGUGAAGCGUUCGGACCGUGGCCUUUGGACGGUUCGCCGUCUGUUGGCUGCGGGAAGUUCGUUAAACCUUAUCAUUUAGUGGAAGGAGAAGUCGUAACA
Molecule: ribosomal RNA, 327 nt
Filed under: uncultured eukaryote
Lineage: Eukaryota
Description: partial 18S ribosomal RNA
Rfam family: Eukaryotic small subunit ribosomal RNA
Source: RNAcentral